UUAUGGGAAAAGGCGAGUAUUUCAAAAAAAAUAUACCUAAAAGAUAGAAUUAGUUAUUCUAGCAUUCAAUAUAGUUUAAGAUUCCCAACUUUAGAAUGGCUGAGAAAAGCAACAUAGGACAUCAUAAGUCAGAGCAUAUGACGGUGAGAGUUAAAUAUACUCACAGUCCUCGUGCUUCUUCCUUUCUUGGAUACAACUGCAGCAUCUGCAUAUUUAGCCAAAUGUCAAAUCCAAAAGAAUACUAAAAAAAGGUGUCAGGCAUACAUAGUUCAUAGUGAAGGUAAAAGACAGUUACAUAUACAAACCUCAACUCUGAAGAAUCUCCCUUCAAUUGAGUCUCUAUUUCAUUUAAAUACAUUACAAAUAGAGGCGACCUACACCACCAAUUGUCGGCAUCUUUAGUCACAUAUAUGGAAAGUAAAACUUACGAGCAAGUUGUCAAUGCUUAAUCGAUAUAAGGAGCACAUUUGUAAACAGCAGUUAGAGCAGAAGGUUUAAGUAAAUUAAAUGAAAGCGUGGUAACUGAAAAUUGUACAGCCUUAAGAAGUCUAUCGGGCUAACUCAGAGUCAGAGGAACUCCCCUAUAUUAAUGAAGUAAGCACAGCAAGAGACAAAGAGAAAAACCAUGAUGUUACCAUAAUGGAAUUGCAACAGCUACAAGGACCGGGGAGAGUUUCCACAAUUUAUGAAGCUGCCCGUCCAGAAAACCAGCCAAGUAAUCAAGAAUUCCUUUUUCCUGCCAUGGCCUGCUAGAAUCAAUUACAAAAGAAGAGCAAAGGAACAUGCAAAGAAUGGGGGAAUGAGCCAUAUAGAACGGCAUUAACUUGCAGAUAAGUAGUAAACUGAUCAUUCAGACACCUUUGAAUCCAGUGAUUCUUCUUUCAAAUGAAAACUUUCAGAUCUUCCUGAAAGCAAGUUGCAGACUUCCUGAUACAGUUUUGAGAUUGAGAAGGAGUGAUAAGAAACUGACAUGAAAUAUUCGAUUAUGCGAUUCCAUUUA
Molecule: long non-coding RNA, 1000 nt
Organism: Mercurialis annua (annual mercury)
Lineage: Eukaryota; Viridiplantae; Streptophyta; Magnoliopsida; Malpighiales; Euphorbiaceae
Exons: 2
Source: RefSeq, a predicted model, not a curated record